UUAAUUAUAUUUUGAAUACAUGAAGCUUCAGUGAGCUGCCCUUUAAUAUCAGAUAGUGUGUGUAUGGUGUUGGGUAAUAAUUUAGAAGUUUUAAGUGAUGAUUAUAUACCGCCCCAGUCUGAUGGAGUUGAUUGAUUGGUUUUUCUGAAAUCUGGGUGAACAGACAUUAUAUACAUAUUUAGACCAUCUGUUAAUAGCAUUAUUCUCUUUGUUACAGUGGCAGGAAUUUGUAUUAUGCUGCCUUCAUGAACAAAAUUGCUAUUGUUGCAGAAGUUUGUAAAUGGUGAAGUGUAAGCUGGUGGCAUGGACAGGAUUGGAAUUUAAACCGUGGCAGGAAUUUGUAUUAUGCUGCCUUCAUGGACGAAAUUGCUAUUGAGGUUAGAGUUUGCAAAUGAGGAUGUUUAGUACAAUGCUGCCAUCUUGAACAGUACUGUAUUGUAAUUCUUGUUGUGGCAGGAAUUUGUAAAGGAAGAUGUAUAGUGCUGCCAUCAUGGACGAAAUGGAUAUUACAAUUGAAGGUGUAAAUGCUAAAGUGAAAGCAUGAACAGGAUUGAUAAUUAAGCUGUGGCAGGAAUUUGUGUUAUGCUGCCUUCAUGGCCACAAUUGCAAUUGUGGUAAGAGUUUGUAAAUGAAGAUGUGUUUAUUACAACACUGCAAUCUUGAACAGCAUUGUAAUUCUUGUUGAAGUUGUAAAUGCUAAAGUGAAAGCUGCUAACAUGAACAGGAUUGAUAUUUAAGCUGUGGCAGGAAUUUGUAUUAUGCUGCCUUCAUGGACCAAAUUGCUAUUGUGGCAGGAAUAUGUAAAGGGAGAUGUAUAUUGCUGCCAUCAUGGACAAAAUUGAUGAAGUGACAGUAAAUCAUGCACGAAUUGUGACAAUGAUGGUGACUAUUUUAUUUUAAAUAUUUGAUAAUGAUUUGUCAAACAGCCAAAGUGUUAUGAUGCAUUUUGCCUUAGUUUUUCCAAUUAGCACUGUUACAAGACUUAUUAUUUACACGACUACUUAAUGUAUAGUGUUAAAAAUACACUGCUGAUAUAAUGCGACAUAAAUGUUUAUUACUGAACAACCGUAGUUGCACCGUUUUUAAAUUCUCAUGACUUGUAGUACAGAAAGUCUCCCCUAUAAACUACAUACUUUUUGUAUGUAGUUCCUUUUCUACUUUCAAAUCCUUUUAUUUUAGGAUUUGAAAGUAGAUACAGGACGGUUUCUCUUACGAGCUUUUGCUUCCACAAUCAUUUGUGCUUGUCUCUUGAUGAACUUUCUCGUCAGAGAUUCUUCCUCUUCCCCACUGUCUCCAGCUUCCUCCACCUGUAAAUAAAGCUCACUUUAGGGCCCCGCUUCUACGUGUUACGUGAUUAUUGAAACUACAUGUACAAACACAAAUUUUAAGUCACUGUUGUUGUGUUCUCUUCAGUAGUUAGGCAAAUAUGUAAUAUUUAUUAGUCUUCAUAAUGUCUAGACUUUUUCCAACCAUAAUUUUAGAAAUGUCAAUUUAGCCACUAAUUGUUACUAUUUAUGUAUAUAUAAUGUGUCCAUGUCAUAAUAAAGUAUUGUCUUUGAUGCAUGAUUUUGUCUGUUACAUUAUAUUGAGGCGAUUCAGAAUACAGAAGUGGUCAUGGCGCACCUGUUGUUGGGCUGCCUUAGUGGUUGCUCCUGAACCAGGGAAAGAAACUCGAAUGUUUUCUGGCGAUGUCAACAUUCCUCCAUUCUCUCUCUCCUCUUCUACCAUCUCUGCCAGCUUUAAUAUAGAAAACUGUUGAGAAUAAGUUGGGGAGAUAGUGGAUUAAAUACCUUAGAAGCCACGACAUCACACGAGAUGAGAUGAACAUAUCCUCACCUCCAGUUUCUCAGCCACGUGUUCAAGACCAGCUCUGACUCCUGCCAGCACCUUCAGGGU
Molecule: long non-coding RNA, 1896 nt
Organism: Procambarus clarkii (red swamp crayfish)
Lineage: Eukaryota; Metazoa; Arthropoda; Malacostraca; Decapoda; Cambaridae
Source: RefSeq, a predicted model, not a curated record